This 253-nucleotide ribosomal RNA is filed under the name uncultured bacterium. RNAcentral's name for it is "partial 16S ribosomal RNA". It matches the Rfam family "Bacterial small subunit ribosomal RNA", at positions 524 to 776 of the family's 1533-position model. The record is from RNAcentral.
UACAGAGGGUGCUAGCGUUGUUCGGAAUCAUUGGGCGUAAAGGGCGUGUAGGCGGUUUGUUAAGUCAUGUGUGAAAUCCCUCGGCUCGACCGGGGAACGACGCAUGAAACUGGCAAGCUAGAGUACCAAAGAGGGGGGUGGAAUUCCCGGUGUAGCGGUGAAAUGCGUAGAUAUCAGGAGGAACACCUGUGGCGAAAGCGGCUCACUGGACCACAACUGACGCUGAUGCACGAAAGCUAGGGGAGCAAACAGG